RNAcentral lists this ribosomal RNA (422 nucleotides) under uncultured bacterium. Its description in RNAcentral is "partial 16S ribosomal RNA". It matches the Rfam family "Bacterial small subunit ribosomal RNA", at positions 360 to 774 of the family's 1533-position model. The record is from RNAcentral.
AAUAUUGGACAAUGGGGGAAAACCUGAUCCAGCCAUGCCGCGUGUGUGAAGAAUGUCUUCUGAUUGUAAAGUACUUUAAUUUGGGAGGAAGGUUUGUUGGCUCAUAUCCAGCAAUUUUGUCUUUACGGACCGAAUAAUCCUUGGCUAACUCUGUGCCAGCAGCCGCGGUAAUAAAGAGGGUGCAUGCAUUAAUCGGAAUUACUGGGCGUAAAGCGCGGGUAGGUGAUUCAGUAAGAUGGGUGUGAAAUCCCCGGGCUUAACCUGGGAACUGCUUUCAUAACUGCUGGGCUAGAGUACGGUAGAGGGUAGUGGAAUUUCCUGUGUAGCGGUGAAAUGCGUAGUUAUAGGAAGGAACACCAGUGGCGAAGGCGACUACCUGGACUGAUACUGACACUGAGGUGCGAAAGCGUGGGGAGCAAACA